This is a small nucleolar RNA of Ictidomys tridecemlineatus (thirteen-lined ground squirrel), 113 nucleotides long. NCBI's taxonomy places the organism in Eukaryota, Metazoa, Chordata, Mammalia, Rodentia, Sciuridae. The record is from Ensembl.
ACCUUCUCUAAGGUUUGUACUAAAAUUUCAGAAACUAGUAUCAUGUCUUGGUAUUUGAAAUAAAGCGAGCAGAGUAAGCACAAGAAUCAAAAAAUAGCUGAACAGCUGUAACA